AAAGGGCACUCUAAUGAGACUGCCGGUGACAAACCGGAGGAAGGUGGGGAUGACGUCAAGUCCUCAUCGGCCCUUAUAGGGUGGGCUACACACGUCAUACAAUGGCUGGUAACGAAAGGGUUGCCCAACCCGCGAGGGGGAGCCAAUCCCAUAAAGCCAGUCGUAGUCCGGAUCGCAGUCUGCAACUCGACUGCGUGAAGUCGGAAUCGCUAGUAAUCGUGGAUCAGCAUGUCACGGUGAAUACGUUCCCGGGUCUU
RNAcentral lists this ribosomal RNA (257 nucleotides) under uncultured Variovorax sp. RNAcentral describes it as "partial 16S ribosomal RNA". It matches the Rfam family "Bacterial small subunit ribosomal RNA", at positions 1130 to 1382 of the family's 1533-position model. Lineage: Bacteria; Pseudomonadati; Pseudomonadota; Betaproteobacteria; Burkholderiales; Comamonadaceae. The record is from RNAcentral.